GUAAGCAUUUGAACUGUAUGAAGUAUUUUGAAGACUUGAAAACUAGCGGCGGAUUAAACUGUUCGUGAGUUCGAAUCUCACCGCUUCCGCCA
RNAcentral lists this transfer RNA (92 nucleotides) under Janthinobacterium kumbetense. Its description in RNAcentral is "tRNA-OTHER". Lineage: Bacteria; Pseudomonadati; Pseudomonadota; Betaproteobacteria; Burkholderiales; Oxalobacteraceae. RNAcentral also lists the same sequence under 1 other name. The record is from RNAcentral.